Molecule: long non-coding RNA, 356 nt
Organism: Saccostrea echinata
Lineage: Eukaryota; Metazoa; Mollusca; Bivalvia; Ostreida; Ostreidae
Exons: 3
Source: RefSeq, a predicted model, not a curated record
AGAAUGUCAAGUGAUUCCACUGAUCCAGGUGACAUCAUACCACCAACUCCAAAAAGUAUAAAAAGGAAAAGACCCCAGAACCAGAACUGAGUGAUCCAGACAGUGAUUUAAGUAGGCCCCCAAGUCCAAGCAUUCUUAAAAGGAGAAAAGUGUAUCACAUUGGUGCCUGGUUUCCCUGAUUGGUACAACAUUAAGUAUUCCGAGGAUCCUGCAAUUUAUACUUAUAAACUGAAGAAUGAUCUGGAAUCAGGGGACUUGAAAAUUAUAGUUUAAUAGACUUUGCAUUUGUUUCUCCUAAUAAAAACAGCUGUUAAUUUUUGUCAUUACUUAAAAUUGUUAAAAAUAAAUAUAGAUUU